AGAGUUUGAUCCUGGCUCAGAUUGAACGCUGGCGGCAUGCCUUACACAUGCAAGUCGAACGGUAACAGGUCUUCGGAUGCUGACGAGUGGCGAACGGGUGAGUAAUAUAUCGGAACGUGCCCAGUCGUGGGGGAUAACGCAGUGAAAGCUGUGCUAAUACCGCAUACGAUCUAUGGAUGAAAGCGGGGGAUCGCAAGACCUCGCGCGAUUGGAGCGGCCGAUAUCAGAUUAGGUAGUUGGUAGGGUAAAAGCCUACCAAGCCAACGAUCUGUAGCUGGUCUGAGAGGACGACCAGCCACACUGGAACUGAGACACGGUCCAGACUCCUACGGGAGGCAGCAGUGGGGAAUUUUGGACAAUGGGCGCAAGCCUGAUCCAGCAAUGCCGCGUGCAGGAUGAAGGCCUUCGGGUUGUAAACUGCUUUUGUACGGAACGAAAAAGUCUGCCCUAAUACGGCGGGCCCAUGACGGUACCGUAAGAAUAAGCACCGGCUAACUACGUGCCAGCAGCCGCGGUAAUACGUAGGGUGCGAGCGUUAAUCGGAAUUACU
This 550-nucleotide ribosomal RNA is filed under the name uncultured bacterium. RNAcentral describes it as "bacterial SSU rRNA". It matches the Rfam family "Bacterial small subunit ribosomal RNA", at positions 8 to 555 of the family's 1533-position model. The record is from RNAcentral.